ACUCAAAUGAAUAGACGGGGGCCCGCACAAGUGGUGGAGCAUGUGGUUUAAUUCGAUGAUACGCGAGGAACCUUACCUAGGCUAGAAUGCGCGUGACCGGUUCAGAGAUGGACCUUUCCUUCGGGACACAAAGCAAGGUGCUGCAUGGCCGUCGUCAGCUCGUGCCGUGAGGUGUUGGGUUAAGUCCCGCAACGAGCGCAACCCCUAUGUUUAGUUGCCAGCACAUAAUGGUGGGGACUCUAAACAGACUGCCUGCGCAAGCAGUGAGGAAGGCGGGGACGACGUCAGGUCAUCAUGGCCCUUACGCCUAGGGCUACACACGUGCUACAAUGGACGGUACAACGGGUUGCUACUGCGCGAGCAGAUGCCAAUCUCUAAAAGCCGUUCUCAGUUCGGAUCGGAGUCUGCAACUCGACUCCGUGAAGCUGGAAUCACUAGUAAUCGUGUAUCAGCAAUGACGCGGUGAAUACGUUCCCGGGCCUUGUACACACCGCCCGU
Molecule: ribosomal RNA, 498 nt
Filed under: uncultured bacterium
Lineage: Bacteria
Description: partial 16S ribosomal RNA
Rfam family: Bacterial small subunit ribosomal RNA
Source: RNAcentral